UGUGAAGGCAAAUUUAUUGUAAUGAUAAUUAGAUUGUAAUUUGGAAGAAAAAUGUAACUGGGAGGUAUUAUGGGAAUGCUUGUAUGAGCUGUUAGUUUUAUGUAUUUGAUACUUAUGCAAUCUUGAUUAAUAUCUGUUCCUGGUUGGAACCUCGUGAUUGUUUGGAUUGCGACGCCUUGAACGUACUGGGGAGACUAUGUCCGCGUACAGGGGAACCCUCGGUCCGUUCGGCGGUCUGUCGUCGGCGCCGCGACCCUGUCCAAAUUGGCGGUUGGUCGCGGGGCGUGACAAUAGCAAUCAAUACAAUGUGCGAAGUUCCAACCAGGAACACAUUUCAAUCAAAGAUUGCAUAAGGAAGUAUCAAAAACAUAAUCUACUUGCUAUUACAAGCAUUCACAUUAUUUAGAUACAUUUUACAUUACAAUUACAUAAUACAUUCUUUUUAGCUUCCAAAUACAAUCAUGCUUUUAUUACAAAUUAUUACAAUCUUAUUCCUUUCAUUUUCUUACAUCCCUAAGUAAGGCCGACUCAGGAUACCGCUAUCUCUGGUCUCGGUGGUAGGGCGCUAACUAUGGAGCUACGCCCUCGCCUCGCGCCGCCGCGCCGCUCACGUGUGAACCUGUAACACCCCAAAAUCACGUGGGGUGAGAACCAACUCCAUGGUUCCCAGUGGGUACGGCCAUCCAAGGGAAAAGCUCGACCAAUAGGUCCAAGGAAGGCAACUGCAAAUUAGUUCAAUAAACAGAUAGAUAUAUAUCUUUAUUAUGCAACUAAUAAAACCAUGCCUUGCCUCACGAAUGCAAUAAUGUCAUGCUAUAUGCGAAUCAUGCAAC
This 833-nucleotide long non-coding RNA is filed under the name Ananas comosus (pineapple). RNAcentral describes it as "long non-coding RNA (ACOM_LNC035857)". Lineage: Eukaryota; Viridiplantae; Streptophyta; Magnoliopsida; Poales; Bromeliaceae. The record is from RNAcentral.